UGACCCCUCCAUGCAGGAGCCCAGCCCCCUGCAGCCUGGCUGUGGGACUGACAUGAGCAUGACCAAGUCUCUACAUCCAGCUGCCAAAUCACACAUAAACGAUGGACACAGGAGGACUUGAAAGGGAGGGAUGCCAGCCUUAUGCCCUAGAGAAAAGAUUGUCCAGCCACUCAGACCUCUUCAUUCUCACCUGCCUCCAGGGUUAGUUUUUCUGGGUCUGAAAUACCUGCGCAAUCUUCAGGAUCUGGUGAUUGUUUCCAGGAACAUCCUGGGCCUCACGUGACAUUGCAGUGGGCGGCGGUGAUCACCCAUUUCUCGCUGAUGAGUGAGCCCCCACAGAAAAGGAUUCCAGGGGGAGUCUGUGGAAGAAGAGACUGUCAACCCUGGCAGGACACCAGAAACAACUAUCUGGGUAGCAGCCACCUCACUGUGAGGCUUGUAACCCAGUGUGACCCAAAUCAGGUGCAGACUCCCCUCACCUCCAGAGACACAUGCCAGGGCCAGGAACCAGGUGCAGCGUCCUCCCCAUUGAUGAUCCUGGGUUUAAUGAUCAGCUCCAGUUCACUGGCAGGGGCCCCAGAGCCUGGGGACACAGCAGGAGGGUGAGAGGGUGAGGUCUAGUCAGUCUGCAGAACCCUGGUUGCACCUUCAGCCAGCACAGUGCUAUGUCCACACUCUCCCCUCCUGGCACCCCUGCAUCCAGACUGGAGGACACACACCCCUGCCUGCUGGCCCAGUCACCCUCCCAGGGAUGCAGAGGGACAGGCAGCUCCAUCCGGGUCUCCCAGCCCAGAGGUGCAGAAACAGGCUGAGGAAUCAGGGUACUUGUACCCUUGCUUCUCUGCUGGAGACCUCAGCUCCCUCUGACUCUCCCAGACUCAUUUCCCCACAAAAUGGGGAACAAUCAUUGUUGCCCUCACAUUCAAACUUAUAAAAAUGAUGUUGCGUUUAUGGGGUAUGCAACUGAAACAGAGAACCACAGGUCACUGGAAAUUCCCUUCUGACAGUUUCCUGGUGGGAUGUGACUGUA
This is a long non-coding RNA of Talpa occidentalis (Iberian mole), 1030 nucleotides long. RefSeq lists it as uncharacterized. NCBI's taxonomy places the organism in Eukaryota, Metazoa, Chordata, Mammalia, Eulipotyphla, Talpidae. The transcript is spliced from 3 exons. The record is from RefSeq and is a predicted model, not a curated record.